This 1521-nucleotide long non-coding RNA is filed under the name Homo sapiens (human). Its description in RNAcentral is "non-protein coding lnc-PEX2-3:3". Lineage: Eukaryota; Metazoa; Chordata; Mammalia; Primates; Hominidae. The record is from RNAcentral.
UAGAGGCUGAGUAGUCUCAAGAUCUGAAGACAGCAGAAACCUGGGAAAGUUAAUGAUAUACGUUGUUAUACUCCAAGUGUGAGUCUGAAGACAAGGGAAGACCAACGUCCAAGCUUGAAGACAGUCAGAUAGAAUCAUUCUGCAGCCUGGCUAAGGAUGAAGAUAACUGAUAAACUAUUAUAUACCAAAAAGAUGUUGACAUGGAAAUUUUACCAAGCCUCCACCCCCAGAGUUAGGGUUGUUCGAAAGAGUAUCUCUUGUCUAGAGCUAUGGCUAUGUCACAAGCAAAAGAGCUGAAGGUUGAAAGGUAAAUAAGCACAAAGGAAUCAUCAGUACAAAGAGAGACUGUGACAAGACUAGACAAUUCUAUUCAAAAUUUUGAGAACUGGAGUAUAACAAAUGAGAAUGAAGAAACCAAUGAUGGAAACAUCAAGAUGAGGCCCAAUGGACCAUUAGGAGGUGGGUCUAUAAAAACUCUGAAGACAACACCAUGCUACUUGUUGCUGGCUUCUGUAUGUUAUUUCUGACACAAUGCUUAGGCAGUCUUGCUCCACUAAGAAAAAGCUGGUAGAACACAUAUAGACACUAAUAAUACGUUAAUUAUAUUAAAAAUAGGGGGCUUAUUUUAAAAUACAACUUAACUAAUAGAGUGAAAACAAUACACUGGUUGUCGUUAAACUUCCCCUUUUCUUCAUUCAUCAAAAGUGUAUCUACUGAAUACCUAACAUAAAGAAAUCAUUUAUACUGGGGUAAAUUACACAUCAAUCUAAACUUCCAGAAAAUUUUAUUCAUUAUAUAAAGUUAAAUAAGGUUGUAAAUAUCUAGAGUCCAAGGUGAAUGUGGUAUAUAUCAUAAGCGAUGUACAAAAAACAUACUGUCCGGGCACUGUGACUCAGGCCUGUAAUCCCAGUACUUUGGGAGGUCAAGGUGGGAGGAUUGCUUGAGCCCAGGAGUUUGAAACCAGCCUGGCCAACAGGGCGAAAUCCCAUCUCUACAAAAAAUACAAACAUUUGUCGGGUAUGGUGGUGCAGGACUGUAGUCCUACCUAUUCUGGAGGCUGAGGCGGGAAGAUCACUUGAUCCUAGGAGGCAGAGGUUGCAGUGAGCCGAGAUCGUGCCAUUGCACUCUAGCCUGGGAGACAGAGUUAAACUCUGUCACAACAAAACAAAACAAAAAAUACAUGCUGGGAAAGUUCAAAGAAUGGGGUCAUUUCCAGGGAAAUUUCCACAGAUGAUGUCAUAGACAACCUUGACUUUGAGGAAGAGCUAGGAUAUACAAAGUCCCAGAUAUUGGUGAGAAGAAAUCACUAAUGCUAUGGUCAUACAUUUUUAUGUUUUUUGUUUUGCAAUGAUAGCAAUGCUGGUGGUGGUAAGUAAUGAUUGCAUAUCCCAAUUUGGAGAGAACAUGAUACAAUAUGCCUUCUUGCAUGUAAUUCUGUGAAGAACGAUCAUUGCAUGUAUUGCCCAUGAAAUUGUAAUUAUAAUUAUAGCUUACAUAAUUAGAAUAUAAUAAAAUAUAACU